GAUGAACGCUGGCGGCGUGCCUAAUACAUGCAAGUCGAGCGAACGGACGAGAAGCUUGCUUCUCUGAUGUUAGCGGCGGACGUGUGAGUAACACGUGGAUAACCUACCUAUAAGACUGGGAUAACUUCGGGAAACCGGAGCUAAUACCGGAUGAUAUUUUGAACCGCAUGGUUCAAAAGUGAAAGACGGUCUUGCUGUCACUUAUAGAUGGAUCCGCGCUGCAUUAGCUAGUUGGUAAGGUAACGGCUUACCAAGGCAACUAUGCAUAGCCGACCUGAGAGGGUGAUCGGCCACACGGGAACUGAGACACGGUCCAGACUCCUACGGGAGGCAGCAGUAGGGAAUCUUCCGCAAUGGGCGAAAGCCUGACGGAGCAACGCCGCGUGAGUGAUGACGGUCUUCGGAUCGUAAAACUCUGUUAUUAGGGAAGAACAUAUGUGUAAGUAACUGUGCACAUCUUGACGGUACCUAAUCAGAAAGCCACGGCUAACUACGUG
Molecule: ribosomal RNA, 497 nt
Filed under: uncultured bacterium
Lineage: Bacteria
Description: partial 16S ribosomal RNA
Rfam family: Bacterial small subunit ribosomal RNA
Source: RNAcentral